Molecule: ribosomal RNA, 408 nt
Filed under: uncultured bacterium
Lineage: Bacteria
Description: partial 16S ribosomal RNA
Rfam family: Bacterial small subunit ribosomal RNA
Source: RNAcentral
GACGAACGCUGGCGGCGUGCUUAACACAUGCAAGUCGAACGAAGUGGCGAACGGGUGAGUAACGCGUAAUCAACCUGCCCUUCAGAGGGGGAAAACAGUUGGAAACGACUGCUAAUACCGCAUACUGAAGGAGGGGAGUGCGUCUGAUUAGCUAGUUGGAGGGGUAACGGCCCACCAAGGCGAUGAUCAGUAGCCGGUCUGAGAGAAUGAACGGCCACAUUGGGACGUGGACACGGCCCAGACUCCUACGGGAGGCAGCAGUGGGGAAUCGUCCGCAAUGGAGGAAAGUCUGACGGAGCAACGCCGCGUGAGUGAGGACGGCCGUCGGGUUGUAAAGCUCUGUUAAUCGGGACGCGGUACCGGAAUAGAAAGCCACGGCUAACUACGUGCCAGCAGCCGCGGUAAUAC